RNAcentral lists this ribosomal RNA (305 nucleotides) under uncultured bacterium. Its description in RNAcentral is "bacterial SSU rRNA". It matches the Rfam family "Bacterial small subunit ribosomal RNA", at positions 335 to 658 of the family's 1533-position model. The record is from RNAcentral.
GGCCUACGGGAGGCAGCAGUGGGGAAUAUUGCGCAAUGGGCGAAAGCCUGAUGCAGCGACGCCGCGUGUGGGAAGACGGUCCUCUGGAUUGUAAACCACUGUCCCCAGGGACGAAGAUGACGGUACCUGGGGAGGAAGCUCCGGUUAACCACGUGCCAGCAGCCGCGGUAAUACGUAGGGAGCGAGCGUUGUCCGGAAUUACUGGGUGUAAAGGGAGCGUAGGCGGGGAUGCAAGUUGGGUGUCAAAACUACCGGCUCAACUGGUAGUCGCACUCAAAACUGCAGCUCUUGAGUGAAGUAGAGGG